RNAcentral lists this transfer RNA (68 nucleotides) under Ictidomys tridecemlineatus (thirteen-lined ground squirrel). RNAcentral's name for it is "Spermophilus tridecemlineatus (thirteen-lined ground squirrel) tRNA". It matches the Rfam family "tRNA". From Rfam's summary of the family: Transfer RNA (tRNA) molecules are approximately 80 nucleotides in length. Their secondary structure includes four short double-helical elements and three loops (D, anti-codon, and T loops). Further hydrogen bonds mediate the characteristic L-shaped molecular structure. tRNAs have two regions of fundamental functional importance: the anti-codon, which is responsible for specific mRNA codon recognition, and the 3' end, to which the tRNAs corresponding amino acid is attached (by aminoacyl-tRNA synthetases). tRNAs cope with the degeneracy of the genetic code in two manners: having more than one tRNA (with a specific anti-codon) for a particular amino acid; and 'wobble' base-pairing, i.e. permitting non-standard base-pairing at the 3rd anti-codon position. Lineage: Eukaryota; Metazoa; Chordata; Mammalia; Rodentia; Sciuridae. The record is from Rfam by way of RNAcentral.
GGCUGGGGGCUCAGUGGUAGAGCACUUGCCUAGCAUGUGUGAGGCCCUGGGUUCGAUUCUCAGAGCCA